Molecule: long non-coding RNA, 212 nt
Filed under: Salvia miltiorrhiza (redroot sage)
Lineage: Eukaryota; Viridiplantae; Streptophyta; Magnoliopsida; Lamiales; Lamiaceae
Description: long non-coding RNA (SMIL_LNC012357)
Source: RNAcentral
UAAUUAAAUUUAUAGAUUGUAAAGCAAAUAAUUUAAGUCAAUCUCAUUUUGAGCAAAUAACACUAAACCAUCAAUAUAACAAAAUUAAUAGUGCCUCAAGGGGACACCAAACGGUGCGAACUCUUAUUUACGAACAGUGAGGUCCAGGGAUCAAACCUCACCGCUCCCCUCUCCCAAAGUAAAAAAAAAUAAAAAAAAUAAAAUAAUAGCCG